GCUCUUCACUGCCCCUGCACAUGGGGUUACUUCUCCUUCCCUGCUGCUGGAGUCCAAGCACUGCUGCUUGCUUUGCAGACCGCCUGCUGAGUUGCAGGCUGGAUUACUAUAACCAAACCCACUGAGUCUGAAGCUGACUAUUGAGGCUAUGCACAUGCUCCAGCUGCUACAGAAUGAGCCACAGAGAAUGUGAGCAGCCACAUUCUCAAAGAACCAUUGAUAAAUACUCAAAGACCAAAAUUUGAUAUAUGGACCCUUCCUGACAGCUGUGCUUCUCUGGGACAAUGCAGAUCACAAAGCCAGGAUGAAGCAUGUUAGAUCUGGGGACAAUGCUGUGAUCCAGCAAUGGAACAACCUUCCCUAGGAGAUCAGGUGAAUCCAGAGUCUGAACAUCUUUAGAAAAUGCUGCAAAACCAUCUCUAUGAAAACCUCCCUCCAUCAUAAGAAUGACACUAGCAAUACUGACUCCCUCUUCAAUCCAAGAUAAUCCUACCAACCAAAAGAGAUGAUUGUAGUAAAAUAUAAUCAUUCAAAAGCAUAUUUCCUAUCCAAAGCAGAGUUUUAUCCUAAAAAAGGUGGAAAUGUCAGAGACUCCAUGAAAUCCACUAAGGACUUCUCUAUUGCUAUUGAGUUUCAUGGAAGGUGCUUAGCUAACACGGUGAUGGGUGGCAAUAUAAAAACCUUAGAUAGUAGGUCUGAAGGAGUCCAGGAAGGAUCCAACUUACACCAUCUUAUACAUCACUUCUGAAGCUGUCCCCAUAUAUCUACUGGUGCUUUAA
Long non-coding RNA from Mauremys reevesii (Reeves's turtle), 779 nucleotides. RefSeq lists it as uncharacterized. Lineage: Eukaryota; Metazoa; Chordata; Testudines; Geoemydidae. The transcript is spliced from 3 exons. The record is from RefSeq and is a predicted model, not a curated record.